RNAcentral lists this ribosomal RNA (484 nucleotides) under uncultured bacterium. Its description in RNAcentral is "partial 16S ribosomal RNA". It matches the Rfam family "Bacterial small subunit ribosomal RNA", at positions 30 to 507 of the family's 1533-position model. The record is from RNAcentral.
AUUGAACGCUGGCGGCAGGCCUAACACAUGCAAGUCGAGCGGAUGAAGGGAGCUUGUUCCUGGAUUCAGCGGCGGACGGGUGAGUAAUGCCUAGGAAUCUGCCUGGUAGUGGGGGAUAACGUCCUGAAACGGGCGCUAAUACCGCAUACGUCCUGAUGGAGAUAGUUGGGGAUCUUCGGACCUCACGCUAUCAGAUGAGCCUAGGUCGGAUUAGCUAGUUGGUGGGGUAAAGGCCUACCAAGGCGACGAUCCGUAACUGGUCGGAGAGGAUGAUCAGUCACACUAGAACUGAGCCACGGUCAAGAGUCCUACGGGAGGCAGCAGUGGGGAAUAUUGGACAGUGGGCGAGAGCAUGAUACAGCCAUGCCACGUGUGUGGAGGAGGUCUUCGGAUUGUAAAGCACUUUAAGUUGGGAGGAAGGGCAGUAAGUUAAUACCUUGCUGUUUUGACGUUACCAACAGAAUAAGCACCGGCUAACUUCGUG